Molecule: long non-coding RNA, 1024 nt
Organism: Pyrus x bretschneideri (Chinese white pear)
Lineage: Eukaryota; Viridiplantae; Streptophyta; Magnoliopsida; Rosales; Rosaceae
Exons: 5
Source: RefSeq, a predicted model, not a curated record
UCGAAAGAUAAGUGCUUUUUAAAUUUUUUUUUUUUUUAUCAGCUUAGAUUGUCACGUUUCUGCCUUUUUGUUGUGGAUUAUUUUCGAAUUUUUUAGUGUGUUAGGUCAGAUUUUGGGCGAAUCAUCAGAGAUAUUAAUUUCCCUUAUUAGUUUUCUUUUCUCUCAUUUUGCACAUUCAUCUCCAUCAAACCCUAGAAAUCGUUUCGUUUUUUGGGUAUCCGGAUGGCUCCUCCUUAUUUCUCCCUGCUCUUUGCUUCCCCGAACCCUAGAAUCCUCUCCAUUUCCCCUGAACGAGAAAUCCGAAACCCACAGCCCAAAACUCACUCAUACGUCGCCCCUCUCCUUGGUUUGCCACUUUCCUCAUCAAUGGUUCGUUCUCUCCAUUCGAUUCAAUUUCGCUGAAUCUGUCUCCCUUCGGCAGUGUUUUGGCGAAUCCGUUUGUGUUCAAUGGCGAUUUGAGCGAGGGCAGUGAGAGCUCUGGGGUUUCGUUUUUGGUCCCCUAUUAAGGGGGUGCGAUGGAUUUGUCAAAGGUCGGCGAGAAGAUUCUGAGCUCCUUUAGGUGUGCCAGAUUGCUCGGCCUUCUUCCUUCUGCUUCUGAUCGCCCGAGGUGAUGACAUUGACAGUGUUGAAAUCAUGGACAUGGGGUUGUGGUUUGUCAACUAUUUCCAGGCCAAUAGUUUAUAACUAUUGCCCAUCUGUUCUGUUGAGGUAUUUUUCAAUUUUUUUGUUGUUUAAAUUUAUAUGUUAUUCAUCUUUUGUGAGCAUUCGUUCCAGGAUUUUACGAAAUUCUUAAAAUUUUAUUUAAUUGAAUUUAUGGUCGUUCGGUAAUUUUUUUAUUUCCAGAAUCCUCUAAUCCUAUUGAUGCAAUGAGUCGUAGGGGAGCCACGAGUUCACCGAAGCUUUCAAAUUUUGCCCACUCACUCAUUGAUUGGCACGUGGUUUUUCAAGCUUUUGCAACCACUUUGGGUCUGGCAAAGGUUAUUAUCUUAAUCGACAAGAUGCAAAACGAGGAGUCAAUCAUCAC